AACGUAGGGGGCCAGCGUUGCUCGGAAUUACUGGGCGUAAAGGGUCCGUAGGCGGUGUGGCAAGUCGGUAGUGAAAUCUCUCGGCUUAACUGAGAGGCUGCUGCCGAAACUGCCAUGCUGGAGUGCGAGAGAGGCGAGUGGAAUUGCGGGUGUAGCGGUGAAAUGCGUAGAUAUCCGCAGGAACAUCCGAGGCGAAAGCGGCUCGCUGGAUCGCAACUGACGCUGAGGGACGAAAGCUAGGGGAGCAAACAGG
Molecule: ribosomal RNA, 253 nt
Filed under: uncultured bacterium
Lineage: Bacteria
Description: partial 16S ribosomal RNA
Rfam family: Bacterial small subunit ribosomal RNA
Source: RNAcentral